This 484-nucleotide ribosomal RNA is filed under the name uncultured bacterium. Its description in RNAcentral is "partial 16S ribosomal RNA". It matches the Rfam family "Bacterial small subunit ribosomal RNA", at positions 28 to 523 of the family's 1533-position model. The record is from RNAcentral.
GAUGAACGCUGGCGGCGUGCUUAACACAUGCAAGUCGAACGGUGAAGCAGGAGCUUGCUCUUGUGGAUCAGUGGCGAACGGGUGAGUAACACGUGAGCAACCUGCCCCUGACUCUGGGAUAAGCGCUGGAAACGGCGUCUAAUACUGGAUAUGUGAUGUGACCGCAUGGUCUGCAUCUGGAAAGAAUUUCGGUUGGGGAUGGGCUCGCGGCCUAUCAGCUUGUUGGUGAGGUAAUGGCUCACCAAGGCGUCGACGGUUAGCCGGCCUGAGAGGGUGACCGGCCACACUGGGACUGAGACACGGCCCAGACUCCUACGGGAGGCAGCAGUGGGGAAUAUUGCACAAUGGGCGGAAGCCUGAUGCAGCAACGCCGCGUGAGGGAUGACGGGCUUCGGGUUGUAAACCUCUUUUAGCAGGGAAGAAGCGAAAGUGACGGUGCCUGCAGAAAAAGCACCGGCUAACUACGUGCCAGCAGCCGCCGUAA